UGGGGAAUAUUGGACAAUGGGGGAAACCCUGAUCCAGCAAUGCCGCGUGUGUGAAGAAGGCCUGAGGGUUGUAAAGCACUUUCAGUGGGGAGGAGGAGUGGCAGGUUAAGAGCUGGUCAAUUGGACGUUACCCACAGAAGAAGCACCGGCUAACUACGUGCCAGCAGCCGCGGUAAUACGUAGGAGGCCAGCGCUGUCCGGAGUUGUUGGGCGUAAAGGGCCCGCAGGCGGGUUCUUCAGGCUGAUGUG
This 249-nucleotide ribosomal RNA is filed under the name uncultured organism. Its description in RNAcentral is "partial 16S ribosomal RNA". It matches the Rfam family "Bacterial small subunit ribosomal RNA", at positions 355 to 596 of the family's 1533-position model. The record is from RNAcentral.